This 253-nucleotide ribosomal RNA is filed under the name uncultured bacterium. RNAcentral's name for it is "partial 16S ribosomal RNA". It matches the Rfam family "Bacterial small subunit ribosomal RNA", at positions 524 to 776 of the family's 1533-position model. The record is from RNAcentral.
UACGGAAGGGGCAAGCGUUGUUCGGAAUCAUUGGGCGUAAAGGGCGCGUAGGUGGCUCUGUAUGUCUGCCGUGAAAGCAUACAGCUCAACUGUAUUGUGUCGGUAGAAACUGCAGGACUUGAGGCUGGGAGGGGCUGGUGGAAUUCCCUGUGUAGCGGUGAAAUGCGUAGAGAUGGGGGAGAACACGCGUGGCGAAGGCGGCCAGCUAGACCAGUUCUGACACUGAGGCGCGACAGCGUGGGGAGCAAACAGG